This 1607-nucleotide long non-coding RNA is filed under the name Homo sapiens (human). RNAcentral describes it as "HSALNT0216273". Lineage: Eukaryota; Metazoa; Chordata; Mammalia; Primates; Hominidae. The record is from RNAcentral.
CUUUGUUGUCCAGGCUGGAGUGCAGUGGCACGAUCUUGGCUCACUGCAAGCUCCACCUCCUGGGUUCAAGUGAUUCUCCUGCCUCAGCCUCCCAAGUACCUUGGACUACAGGCGCCUGCCACCACGCCCAGCUAACUUUUUGUAGUUUUAGUAGAGAUGGGGUUUCACUGUUAGGAUGGUCUUGAAGACCUCCUGACCUCGUGAUCCACCUGCCUUGGCCUCCCAAAGUGCUGGGAUUACAGGCGUGAGCCACCGCACCUGGCCAAUUUUAAUAUUUUAACUGAAGAUGUUUCAUAUAAUAUUCAGCAAUAUAAAAAUUACUAAUGACUUUUUUGGUAAGAAGCCUUUGAGGUGUGCUGUGUGGUUGACACGUUAUGGCACUUUUCAGGUUGGACUGGCCCCAAUUUACAUACUUAGUGGCUGCAGGUGGCUUCUGACGGCCAUGAGGGACAGCACCCUUCCUUAGACUUCCUCUCACUGAGUGUGAGGCCCCAGAGGACUCGGCUGCUUUCCAUCACUCCCAGGGGAGGGCGGCUGCUGAGACGCAGAGGUGGCGCAGCCACCAGGCUGCCAGAGCCUGAUGUUGAGGGACACGCUGCUUCCGCCAGCUGGUCCCUACAAAGCCGCACCCCUAGAAAGCGACCCAACGCGAGGGCUGCAGGCUUCCUAUUCUCCCAUUAGCACAAAACAAAUGCACACUCAUUCUCCAGUUUCUGCUGGCUAACGCCUUGAUGCCAAUUGUGGUGGCAGCUAGGAGCCAACUAGAACCACCUUCAUGCCCUCCACUGUCCCACUCUCCACUGGGCCCAGCUUCCAGAGAGAUCUUGAAUCAACCGCCCUCAAACCUGUCCUCCUCUCGUCUUCUGUAGUCCAUACUGGCAUAACGGAACUGGGGGUUCCCGUUAGCAGGCUUCGCCCUUUUGAUGGCAGCCCUGGUUAACAGUUCUUUUAGAAUGCAUCGCCAUGCAGAGAAUGUGCCCAUGAUCAAAACUCAGGGUCCCCAUGCUGCAGCACUCAGGAAGCACGUUGGCCACCGGUGAAAAACCCAAGAGGACCCCAGGGUGCUUGACCAGGGACUCCCUGGAGCCCGCCCGUCAGAGCAAAGGGGAAAACGGUGGUCUCUAAGAGGAGUUAACCGGAAGGCGAAGCGAAGGCCCAAAGGGCCCGGCCUCCAGUUCUCCAGCAGUGACCCCAGCAAGCCCCAGGAGACAGUCCUGCAGGCACAAGCCCUGGAGUGUGCUGGGCCUGCUGUGGCCCUGCGUUGGCAUCAGUGCCAGGCAUGCCCAGAAGCAGGGGGUGCGACACAGCACUCCGGGUGGCAGGGAAGGGGCCUCGGCGCCCUGCAUGCCGCUGAGGACUUGUGCGAGUCACUGGACCCUUCAUCUUGGCACCUGUCACUUGCUGGAGAUGGACUCACUUUGCCGUGGUGAACACUGGAGGCAACAGGAGGAAAAAGCGCCAUUCAAAAGAGAAUCAAAUGAAAAAAGUCACCUUGUUUCUAUCUGCCUGUGAUUCAGUCUAAAGAUUAUCAGGUGGUAGAAGAGGAAGACGAGAAACAGACACCUAGGCCCCCAUGGAAGGAUCCCGGCUGCAGCUUCCCUCGAGAG